CCUACGGUGGCAGCAGUGGGGAAUAUUGGACAAUGGGCGAAAGCCUGAUCCAGCCAUGCCGCGUGUGUGAAGAAGGCCUUCGGGUUGUAAAGCACUUUCAGUGGGGAAGAAAGCCUUGGGGCUAAUACCCUCGAGGAAGGACAUCACCCACAGAAGAAGCACCGGCUAACUCCGUGCCAGCAGCCGCGGUAAUACGGAGGGUGCGAGCGUUAAUCGGAAUUACUGGGCGUAAAGCGCGCGUAGGCGGUCUGAUAAGCCGGUUGUGAAAGCCCCGGGCUCAACCUGGGAACGGCAUCCGGAACUGUCAGGGGAGAGUGCAGGAGAGGAAGGUAGAAUCCCCGGUGUAGGGGUGAAAUGCGUAGAGAGCGGGAGGAAUACCAGUGGCGAAGGGGGCCUUAGGGACGGACACUGCCGCUGGGGUGCGAAAGCGUGGGUAGCAAACAGGAUUAGAAACCCCUGUAGUC
This 464-nucleotide ribosomal RNA is filed under the name Vreelandella stevensii. Its description in RNAcentral is "partial 16S ribosomal RNA". It matches the Rfam family "Bacterial small subunit ribosomal RNA", at positions 338 to 795 of the family's 1533-position model. Lineage: Bacteria; Pseudomonadati; Pseudomonadota; Gammaproteobacteria; Oceanospirillales; Halomonadaceae. The record is from RNAcentral.